This is a long non-coding RNA of Lepisosteus oculatus (spotted gar), 1068 nucleotides long. RefSeq lists it as uncharacterized. The record is from RefSeq and is a predicted model, not a curated record. NCBI's taxonomy places the organism in Eukaryota, Metazoa, Chordata, Actinopteri, Semionotiformes, Lepisosteidae.
CAGCCAAUCAGCCUCCAGCGCACGUUUCCAACGUUCUGUCCUGCCUGGUAACAUUUCUCUCGCCUGUGGAAAUGGGGGGUGGCUGCGACCCCCAGCUCCCCGGUUGCUGCUGUAAGAACAGCGCGAGUCUACCCCAGUUUGCACACCCUUGUUGCUGCUGGUGAGCAGCAGCUGUGGAGACCUACUGGGGGAGGAGCAGGACUCAGCAGUAUGAAAAUCAGCGAGAGAUGGUGCAGCCAUGGGGAACCACAGUGUGUUAUUUCUGCAAAAGCAAUCAUUCAGCCUGGGCUUUUCAUUUGUGCACAAGAGGGCCCGCCACACCAUCAGGAAUCUGCACAACAAAGAAAACUGAACUGCAACUUAAACCUCACAUUGUUCAAAGGACACGUUGUCAAAUCUGGCAUAAUUCUUUAAAUUUGCUUAAAGCAGGACACAUUUUCUUUUUUCAUUGCUGUAGUUUUUAUUCAUUGUUUUUGUUUUAAAGGACAGGCAGAAAUUGUGCACAAUGGGAAACCAAACCAGCAGUUCACUCUGUCUUUAAACACCAAGCACUUUUUAUCAGCCCCUGAGUAUGAGUUGGUGUGUCAUACUGUGAAGUAACUUUGCAAGUUAUUUUCAAGAUCAGUCUGGUUACUCCCACUGCUGCCAUGGAAUCCCAUCUUAAUAAUUCAUCACAGCUUUCUGUAUCAUCUACAGUUUAAAACGUAAACAUAAAAAUAAACUUAUCAACUUGAACCUCUCGAAACGCCGAAAGGGGCUGAAUAAUCUUCUCAUUUGUACCAUCUCUGAUGUUUUCUGAUCUCUCAAAAGGAACUACAGAGUCUGGAUGCAAGUCCUUUUAAUUAAGCCACUGCCAGUGACUGAACAGCCUCCAGAGAGAGCUGAAACUGUCCGUCUUCCUUUCUGUUGUAUAAAUCGUUUCCGUUCAGCACUCGCACUUGUUGACACUGCCCUGGCCUGUUAUGUUAUUUACAUUUUUCCUGUUUGUUCUUCUGUACCGCAGAUGUGUUAACCUCUCGUCCAGAUUGUAAAUGAGUUCUCUGCUGGUUAAAUAAAGGACUAUUGCUA